CCUACGGGGGGCAGCAGUGAGGAAUAUUGGUCAAUGGACGAGAGUCUGAACCAGCCAAGUCGCGUGAAGGAUGACUGCUCUAUGGGUUGUAAACUUCUUUUAUAUGGGAAUAAAACGUUCCACGUGUGGGAUUUUGUAUGUACCAUAUUAAUCAGGAUCCGCUAACGCCGUGCCAGCAGCCGCGGUAAUACGGAGGAUCCGAGCGUUAUCCGGAUUUAUUGGGUUUAAAGGGAGCGUAGGGGGAUUGGUAAGUCAGUCGUGAAAGUUUGUGGCUCAACCGUAGAAUUGCAGUUGAAACUGGGAGUCUUGAGUACAGUAGAGGUAGGCGGAAUUCGUGGUGUAGCGGUGAAAUGCUUAGAUAUCACGAAGAACACCGAUUGCGAAGGCAGUUCACUGGACUGCAACUGACAUUGAGGCUCGAAAGUGUGGGGAUCAAACAGGAUUAGAUACCCCGGUAGUC
This 460-nucleotide ribosomal RNA is filed under the name uncultured bacterium. RNAcentral describes it as "partial 16S ribosomal RNA". It matches the Rfam family "Bacterial small subunit ribosomal RNA", at positions 338 to 795 of the family's 1533-position model. The record is from RNAcentral.